This is a non-coding RNA of Mycena vulgaris, 93 nucleotides long. Lineage: Eukaryota; Fungi; Basidiomycota; Agaricomycetes; Agaricales; Mycenaceae. The record is from the annotation of a GenBank genome assembly.
UCGGGUGUGGUGUACGGUGCACCGCGGGUAUACUUAAGAGGACGAUAAACUUUGUUUAGCCCGCAGGCUGGGGUUCGAUUCCCCGCGCCCGAA